GACGAACGCUGGCGGCGUGCUUAACACAUGCAAGUCGAACGGAAAGGCCCUGCUUUUGUGGGGUGCUCGAGUGGCGAACGGGUGAGUAACACGUGAGUAACCUGCCCUUGACUUUGGGAUAACUUCAGGAAACUGGGGCUAAUACCGGAUAGGAGCUCCUGCUGCAUGGUGGGGGUUGGAAAGUUUCGGCGGGUGGGGAUGGACUCGCGGCUAAUCAGCUUGUUGGUGGGGUAGUGGCUUACCAAGGCUUUGACGGGUAGCCGGCCUGAGAGGGUGACCGGCCACAUUGGGACUGAGAUACGGCCCAGACUCCUACGGGAGGCAGCAGUGGGGAAUAUUGCACAAUGAGCGGAAGCCGGAUGCAGCAACGCCGCGUGCGGGAUGACGGCCUUCGGGUUGUAAACCGCUUUCGCCUGUGACGAAGCGUGAGUGACGGUAAUGGGUAAAGAAGCACCGGCUAACUACGUG
RNAcentral lists this ribosomal RNA (468 nucleotides) under uncultured bacterium. RNAcentral describes it as "partial 16S ribosomal RNA". It matches the Rfam family "Bacterial small subunit ribosomal RNA", at positions 28 to 507 of the family's 1533-position model. The record is from RNAcentral.